GACGAACGCUGGCGGCGUGCUUAACACAUGCAAGUCGAACGGAAAGGCCCUGCUUUUGUGGGGUGCUCGAGUGGCGAACGGGUGAGUAACACGUGAGUAACCUGCCCUUGACUUUGGGAUAACUUCAGGAAACUGGGGCUAAUACCGGAUAGGAGCUCCUGCUGCAUGGUGGGGGUUGGAAAGUUUCGGCGGUUGGGGAUGGACUCGCGGCUUAUCAGCUUGUUGGUGGGGUAGUGGCUUACCAAGGCUUUGACGGGUAGCCGGCCUGAGAGGGUGACCGGCCACAUUGGGACUGAGAUACGGCCCAGACUCCUACGGGAGGCAGCAGUGGGGAAUAUUGCACAAUGGGCGGAAGCCUGAUGCAGCAACGCCGCGUGCGGGAUGACGGCCUUCGGGUUGUAAACCGCUUUCGCCUGUGACGAAGCGUGAGUGACGGUAAUGGGUAAAGAAGCACCGGCUAACUACGUGCCAGCAGCCGCGGUGAUACGUAGGGUGCGAGCGUUGUCCGGAUUUAUUGGGCGUAAAGGGCUCGUAGGUGGUUGAUCGCGUCGGAAGUGUAAUCUUGGGGCUUAACCCUGAGCGUGCUUUCGAUACGGGUUGACUUGAGGAAGGUAGGGGAGAAUGGAAUUCCUGGUGGAGCGGUGGAAUGCGCAGAUAUCAGGAGGAACACCAGUGGCGAAGGCGGUUCUCUGGGCCUUUCCUGACGCUGAGGAGCGAAAGCGUGGGGAGCGAACAGGCUUAGAUACCCUGGUAGUCCACGCUGUAAACGGUGGGUACUAGGUGUGGGGUCCAUUCCACGGGUUCCGUGCCGUAGCUAACGCUUUAAGUACCCCGCCUGGGGAGUACGGCCGCAAGGCUAAAACUCAAAGGAAUUGACGGGGCCCCGCACAAGCGGCGGAGCAUGCGGAUUAAUUCGAUGCAACGCGUAGAACCUUACCUGGGUUUGACAUGGAUCGGGAGUGCUCAGAGAUGGGUGUGCCUCUUUUGGGGUCGGUUCACAGGUGGUGCAUGGCUGUCGUCAGCUCGUGUCGUGAGAUGUUGGGUUAAGUCCCGCAACGAGCGCAACCCUUGUUCACUGUUGCCAGCACGUUAUGGUGGGGACUCAGUGGAGACCGCCGGGGCCAACUCGGAGGAAGGUGGGGAUGACGUCAAGUCAUCAUGCCCCUUAUGUCCAGGGCUUCACGCAUGCUACAAUGGCUGGUACAGAGAGUGGCGAGCCUGUGAGGGUGAGCGAAUCUCGGAAAGCCGGUCUCAGUUCGGAUUGGGGUCUGCAACUCGACCUCAUGAAGUCGGAGUCGCUAGUAAUCGCAGAUCAGCAACGCUGCGGUGAAUACGUUCCCGGGGCU
This 1346-nucleotide ribosomal RNA is filed under the name uncultured bacterium. Its description in RNAcentral is "partial 16S ribosomal RNA". It matches the Rfam family "Bacterial small subunit ribosomal RNA", at positions 28 to 1381 of the family's 1533-position model. The record is from RNAcentral.